AAAACGAAUAGAUUUGCCGUAGACAGUAGGUGCGAGAGCUUAAUUUCCUGCCGAGGUUUUAGAUAAAUGAAACUAGAGCUUUUAUGUCUACCAUUGUGUUAGAAAUAAAAGCUUUUUUAAUUG
This 123-nucleotide small RNA is filed under the name uncultured Intestinibacter sp. RNAcentral describes it as "Ribosomal protein L10 leader". It matches the Rfam family "Ribosomal protein L10 leader". Rfam says of the family: This family is a putative r-protein leader autoregulatory structure found in B. subtilis and other low-GC Gram-positive bacteria. It is located in the 5' untranslated regions of mRNAs encoding ribosomal proteins L10 and L12 (rplJ-rplL). The record is from RNAcentral. Lineage: Bacteria; Bacillati; Bacillota; Clostridia; Peptostreptococcales; Peptostreptococcaceae.